This 274-nucleotide ribosomal RNA is filed under the name uncultured bacterium. RNAcentral describes it as "partial 16S ribosomal RNA". It matches the Rfam family "Bacterial small subunit ribosomal RNA", at positions 523 to 796 of the family's 1533-position model. The record is from RNAcentral.
AUACGGAGGAUCCAAGCGUUGUCCGGAUUUAUUGGGUUUAAAGGGUGCGUAGGCGGACUAAUAAGUCAGUGGUGAAAGCCUAUAGCUUAACUAUAGAAUUGCCAUUGAAACUGUUAGUCUUGAGUUUGGUCGAGGUGGAUGGAAUGUAUCAUGUAGCGGUGAAAUGCUUAGAUAUGAUACAGAACACCAAUUGCGAAGGCAGUUCACUAGGCCAAAACUGACGCUGAGGCACGAAAGCAUGGGGAUCGAACAGGAUUAGAAACCCUAGUAGUCC